RNAcentral lists this unclassified non-coding RNA (223 nucleotides) under Hevea brasiliensis (rubber tree). Lineage: Eukaryota; Viridiplantae; Streptophyta; Magnoliopsida; Malpighiales; Euphorbiaceae. The record is from RNAcentral.
GCUUGAACUUGUGUCCUCAAUGCCUGAAUUGCAUUCAACACUGCGAUUUGUAGCACUGGAUGCUGGAGAAGCUUUCACACUUUCUUCCCUUCCAAUCUCUGGAGGACACUCGCAAAUGUCUGAACAGCAAGUACUACGACCCAGAUCAUUAUUGACUUUUCCACCACACGGAUUGGAAAUGCUGGAGACAAGAGCUGAAUCCUGCUUUACUUUCUUUUUCACA